GUCACAGUGAAAGCCACCGUUGCCCGGGGAUGGGUCCCUGACACUUGGGGAAGUAGGAGCCCUGUGUGAUCGUACGUCUGAGUCUGGGCUGAGACCAGUCCUGGCCAGGGCAGUUACCAGGACGGUCUCCGGAGGCCGGGAUUCGCGGAGGGUCCAGCAGCAGGAAGAAACCCCAGGAGGAAGAAACCUCAGACAGAUCGCCGGCGAGGCAGCGCGGGAUCCCAGCCUCAGGCGUGCGCGGACGGUGUGCGGCGCACACAACCAAGCUUAGGAGCCGACUGUUAAGAUGCCCCAGUGACACGGACAAGUUUCUCCUCUGCAACCCAAUGAGAGCUGCUGACCACGAGAGCAUCGCGGGACCGCCAAAGGAUUCUGGAAAAUGUGGUCCCGGGUGGCCAGUGUGCGCUGACCUUCACCUGAAGGUACGGCUUGAAGGAAACUUCUGGAGGGUGGGGUGGUGUUGAAGAGAAGGCACAAUUGUCACCAUUUUGUUCAACAUGGGCGUUUUCUUUGUGCAUUGAUUUGCAUUUUUAAAGGAACUCCUCCUCAAAACAGAAGAAGCCUAUAGGAUUUUAACCUGGAAACUACUCAGGGAAUCUGGAAUAUUCCUUCCAGGGAUAUCUGCAGCUGAAACCUGGCAGUAAUUUAAACAAAACCAGACAACUCUUGGGGUCUCCUCACUGUGGCGGGAUCCAGGCGCAGCUCUAGACCAAGAAAUGGGAGGAUUUUAGAGUGACUGAUGAUUUCUCUAUCAUCUGCAGUUAGUAAACAUUCUCCACAGUUUAUGCAAAAAGUAACAAAACCACUGCAGAUGACAAACACUAGGUAACACACAUACUAUCUCCCAAAUACCUACCCACAAGCUCAACAAUUUUAAACUGUUAGGAUCACUGGCUCUAAUCACCAUGACAUGAGGUCACCACCAAACCAUCAAGCGCUAAACAGACAGAAUGUUUCCACUCCUGAUCCACUGUGUGGAGAAGCACAGAGCUUACCCACUGGGGCCCUGCAUCAGAAGAGAUGCACAUGCACCGGGGUGUGCAUUUGAACGGAGCGAUCAAACCACCAUCCCCACAGCUCCUCUGUUCAUGGGCACUGCAGUCUGUGGCCUCAUGUCCUUUGGGGGACACAGUGGGAAGGUAACCCACAUUUCAGUGACACCAUCAAGAAAAACACACUGUGGCAAUUUGCCCUGAUUUCUCAUGGGCCUUUUCUCUUUUCCCUUUGGGUUGUAUAGACUUCCCUACUGUCCACCUGACCACUCUCAUGCUGCCCAAAACCAUAGCUUAAGUCAUCAGCUAGGCGUUUCUUGGUGUAACUAUCGAAAGGUGAGCCUUAC
Molecule: long non-coding RNA, 1339 nt
Filed under: Homo sapiens (human)
Lineage: Eukaryota; Metazoa; Chordata; Mammalia; Primates; Hominidae
Description: HSALNT0397690
Source: RNAcentral